CUGUAGGCGAUACACUUGCAUCAAGAGUGGCUGCUUCACAGCUUUCAUGUUUUGGCUGCCCUGAACUAAUCGCUAAAAGUUGGCAAGAUUAUGAGAAUAUUGCUAUGAAACUGCGAACUGAUGUGGAAUACCUGAAAAAGAUCCACGCUAAAGUCUGGAAGCAAAGGAUAUCCAGCCCACUUUUCAACACCAACAAUACACAAUGGAUCUGGAGAGAUUGUAUUUAGAAAUGUGGGAGCAUUUUGCUGCGGGAAACAAACGUGAUCAUCUCAUCAAGCCUGUGGAAAGCACCGAAUCCGCUUAACUCUCUGAUGGCUCCGAAUAUAUCGGCCAAACUCGUUGGAGAGCUUUUUUUUGCUUUUUUUUUUUGCUACAUCCAUCAAAUCUUGCAAGUUGCCAUCCAAAUAUGAUACCAUGGGCAGUUUUACUUGUUCAUAUACAUUUUUAGCCUUGUAUUGCAGUAUAUUUGGAAUUUAAACUUAUUAGUUUGUGUCUGCUAGUUCAUUCGCAGCUUGAAACUCUUCACUAACUGUGCAGGUUAAAUAAUAAAAAAAUUAAAAAAUCGUAAGCAUCA
Xenopus laevis (African clawed frog) is the source of this 574-nucleotide RNA transcript. RefSeq lists it as uncharacterized. NCBI's taxonomy places the organism in Eukaryota, Metazoa, Chordata, Amphibia, Anura, Pipidae. The record is from RefSeq and is a predicted model, not a curated record. The transcript has 2 exons.